CCCUUAGAUGUCCUGGGCCGCACGCGCGCUACACUGAUGCAUUCAACGAGUAUUUCCUUGGCCGAGAGGCCUGGGCAAUCUUUUAAACCUGCAUCGUGAUAGGGAUAGAUUAUUGCAAUUAUUAAUCUUGAACGAGGAAUUCCUAGUAAACGCAAAUCAUCAAUCUGCAUUGAUUACGUCCCUGCCCUUUGUACACACCGCCCGUCGCACCUACCGAUUGGAUGUUCCGGUGAAGCCUCGGGAUGAGGACUGGUGCCUUUAUUGGCAUGAGUUGUUCAGAACUUGUCUAAACCUUAUCAUCUAGAGGAAGGUGAAGUCGUAACA
Molecule: ribosomal RNA, 324 nt
Filed under: uncultured eukaryote
Lineage: Eukaryota
Description: partial 18S ribosomal RNA
Rfam family: Eukaryotic small subunit ribosomal RNA
Source: RNAcentral